GAUGAAGAACGUAGCGAAAUGCGAUAAGUAAUGUGAAUUGCAGAAUUCAGUGAAUCAUCGAAUCUUUGAACGCACCUUGCGCUCCUUGGUAUUCCGAGGAGCAUGCCUGUUUGAGUGUCAUUAAAUUCUCAACCUCACCAGUUUUGUAACGAGACAGGUGAAGGCUUGGAUGUGGGGGUUUUGCAGGCUGCCUCAGUGCUGGUCUGCUCUCCUGAAAUGCAUUAGCGAGCUCAUAUUGAGCUUCCGUCUAUUGGUGUGAUAAUUAUCUACGCCGUGGAUUGGACUCAUGCUUGCUUCUAACCGUCCGCAAGGACAAUUUACUUGACCAAUUUGACCACAAAUCAGGUAGGACUACCCGCUGAACUUAAGCAUAUCAAUAAGCGGAGGA
RNAcentral lists this unclassified non-coding RNA (388 nucleotides) under soil metagenome. Its description in RNAcentral is "partial contains 5.8S ribosomal RNA, internal transcribed spacer 2, and large subunit ribosomal RNA". The stretch from base 1 to 120 matches the Rfam family "5.8S ribosomal RNA", at positions 35 to 154 of the family's 154-position model. The record is from RNAcentral.